UAUAGCCAACUUCAAAACCAGCUCACGCUCCCAACUACGAGCCACUUGCACGACUGGCUCUAUGUGGUCACAGCAUGGCCAGCAAAGACUGUCGUGGUGAAUUUACCCUUCCUGGCAUGUGAGGAGAGGGCUCACGUUGUGAGGUGACAUGUGCAUGCAUUCCUGUCAUCUGUGCCAGUUACUAGCCAUUUAAGCUCAUUAUCUCUCUGAAGUUCGGUGCCCUCAACUCAAAAACGAGGGUCCCAGCAUCGAGGACUGAAAGUGAAAUCUGCACCAAGUGUUCAACAGAGUCCCCGUCACAUGGAGAGGGCUCAGUAAGCGUGAGCUGCCGACAGAACCACAGCCACGAAGUGGGAACCUGAUCGGCCCCACCCGGACCUCGGAAACGGCUCAGGUCUGUGAGGCAAAAUCACUGCUCUGCAGAGAUCGUAUGUGUGCAAAGAGUUUCCUUCUUGAGAUGCACUGUGUUUGGUGCCAUUAAGAUACAACACGAUGCCCCAGCGUGCCGAGCCUCAGGAGGUCUGCUCCGUCCUGGUGACUCCACCACCGCACGAAUCACACGGCUACGCAAACGGCCUUGGAAAGGGAUCAGAUCUUCCCAUUCUGACACGUACACACAACCUGUAAAUCUUGUAUUCUGAGUCGGCCCGAACAUAAGGGUUGCAGGUAGAAAUCUGAUACUCUGCUGCUCCGAGGUAAAGAAUACCCAUACGUACCCAACACGAGGACACGCAACCCCAGGACUGGAUCUACAUUAGACGUGCGGAGGACGAAGCUGGCAUCCAGAACCUGAAGCAACCUCUUCCCUUUGUCGUCUUGCUUCUGUUGUUCAGGGGUCUCCCCCAGAAUCUAAAACUUCAUGCACCCAGACGCUUCAAAGAAGAACCACACUUUUGGGCCACAGAUCAUUCCCUAUGAGACGAAGAGACGUGCUACCAUACAACAGAGGGAAACCGGUGGCGAAGGGAGCCCGCUCCGAGUCCAGACAGAAGUGAAGAGGACGGCUUCGUGGGGAAGGCGGUAUUUCCACCGUCUCUGCAGGAGGGGCUGGCUGGCGCACUGACAGGUGCUCUGCAAACCCUUGCUGAGCUUUUACUGUGUGGUUCGUAACAAAGACGGACAUAAAUCCUG
This is a long non-coding RNA of Prionailurus viverrinus (fishing cat), 1131 nucleotides long. RefSeq lists it as uncharacterized. The transcript has 5 exons. Lineage: Eukaryota; Metazoa; Chordata; Mammalia; Carnivora; Felidae. The record is from RefSeq and is a predicted model, not a curated record.